Cavia porcellus (domestic guinea pig) is the source of this 732-nucleotide long non-coding RNA. RefSeq lists it as uncharacterized. The transcript is spliced from 2 exons. The record is from RefSeq and is a predicted model, not a curated record. Lineage: Eukaryota; Metazoa; Chordata; Mammalia; Rodentia; Caviidae.
CCCCUGGAGGCCAGGGGCGCUGGGGAUGAGUGGGCGCUGACCACUCUGGAGGUAACAGAACUGUAGCAUUUGCCUCUUACACUUUGUGACCUCUGCACCCCAGCCGGUUUGGACUUCACUGAAAAGGGAAAAUACGGCUGCGUAGCAUAAACUGGUAUUGAGAAAACUGAGGCACUGUGAGAGAAUAAAACCAAGGAAAAUAAAACAGUAAAAUCAAUCAAAAUAAACCAGAAUAAGUGAUAUGGGACUUCCGAACCUUAUGAAACCAACAAUAGUUACCACAGUGCCUUUGUUGUCUUCAAAACAGCUGCAGAUAUUACCUUUGGACAUAGUAAAAAUCAAACAGAACAAGAUAGAAACAAUAAAAACAAAACAAUGACUGCAAUAAAGGACGUCAAAACAAGCCAGUAAUAAAUAUAUACUGGCUUCUGUAACAUGUCUUGCUAUCUUUCAAAUAGCUGCCCAUGCUGUCAGAGUUAACAUAAACAAAACAGAAGAAAAAAAAAACACCCAACCCAACAAAACAAUGAGAAUGAUACGGUUUCCAGGCGGGAAGCUUCUCCCACAGGGCCAGCUUCUCUCCCUCUGCAGUGAUUUGUUCUUAUGAGGGGAUUUUAGGAAUUAUUGAGUUACUUAAUUAUUACUUAAAGUAAUAAUUAAGAUUCAUGAUUUCAUUAAUGUGCAUGUGUUCAGCAUGAUGAAAUUUAUUAAAAGUUGAUUUUGUAAGUUCAA